UUGGCUUAGAAGCAGCCAUCCUUGAAAGAGUGCGUAAUAGCUCACUGGUCAAGUGAUCGUGCGCCGACAAUGUAGCGGGGCUCAAGCACACCGCCGAAGCCGCGGACCCAUAACGUUGUUCCCUUCAUCGUGCGCCUUGUGCGUGUGGUGGCAGGGGUUGUGGGUGGUAGGGGAGCGUCCUGCACCGGGGGAAGCCUGUGGGUGACUGCUGGUGGACGGUGCGGGAGUGAGAAUGCAGGCAUGAGUAGCGAUACUAGGGUGAGAAGCCCUAGCGCCGAAUGACCAAGGGUUCCAGGGCCAGGCUAGUCCGCCCUGGGUGAGUCGGGACCUAAGGCGAGGCCGACAGGCGUAGUCGAUGGAUGACGGGUUGAUAUUCCCGUACCGGCGAAGCACCGCCCAUGCUGACGCGCGGGUGCUAACCCACGCCCAGCCGUCAUAUAGGCCGCAUGUGUCAGGUUCGCCUGACGGUGUGGUUGUGGUGGUGGGGUCUGGGGAUCCUCCGUGCAGGUAGGCAAGCGUGUUAACAGGGGUGACGCACAGUGGUAGCCCGGCGGACCUGAUGGCUUGGUCCGUUCAAGCGCGCAGCCCGUCCUCCAGGUAAAUCCGGGGUGACUGUCUUUGAUGACGGGGGUGAGGCGUGAUGGUGACCCCACUCUGGUGGGGGAUAGCAGGGUGAUCCUGGGGUGCCGAGAAAAGCCUCGACGCGAUGGUGCCAGCCGCCCGUACCCUAAACCGACACAGGUGGUCGGGCAGAGUAUGCCUAGGCGCACGAGUGAAUCAUGGUUAAGGAACUCGGCAAAAUGCCCCCGUAACUUCGGGAGAAGGGGGGCCUGAGCUUUGAAGCCCCUUCGCGGGCUAGGAGCAAGGGUCGCAGAGAACAGGGGGGAGCGACUGUUUACUAAAAACACAGGUCCGUGCGAAGCCGUAAGGCGAUGUAUACGGACUGACGCCUGCCCGGUGCUGGAAGGUUAAGAGGAACCAUCAACCCCCUCGUGGGGUGAAGUGGUGAAUUUAAGCCCCAGUAAACGGCGGUGGUAACUAUAACCAUCCUAAGGUAGCGAAAUUCCUUGUCGGGUAAGUUCCGACCUGCACGAAUGGCGUAACGACUUCCCUACUGUCUCAACCAUGAGCUCGGCGAAAUUGCACUACGAGUAAAGAUGCUCGUUUCGCGCAGAAGGACGGAAAGACCCCGGGACCUUUACUACAGCUUGGUAUUGGCGCCCGCUAUAGCUUGUGCAGGAUAGGUGGGAGACUGUGAAGCCGUUACGCCAGUGGCGGUGGAGUCGUCCUUGAAAUACCACUCUGGUUAUGGCGUGCGCCUGAACCUGGGCCCGUGAUCCGGGUUAGGGACAGUGCCUGGUGGGUAGUUUAACUGGGGCGGUUGCCUCCUAAAGUGUAACGGAGGCGCUCAAAGGUUCCCUCAGCCUGGUCGGCAACCAGGUGUUGAGUGCAAGUGCACAAGGGAGCUUGACUGUGAGACCGACGGGUCGAGCAGGUACGAAAGUAGGAACUAGUGAUCCGGCGAUCCCGUGUGGGUGGGUCGUCGCUCAACGGAUAAAAGGUACCCCGGGGAUAACAGGCUGAUCCUGCCCAAGAGUCCAUAUCGACGGCAUGGUUUGGCACCUCGAUGUCGGCUCGUCGCAUCCUGGGGCUGGAGCAGGUCCCAAGGGUUGGGCUGUUCGCCCAUUAAAGCGGUACGCGAGCUGGGUUUAGAACGUCGUGAGACAGUUCGGUCCCUAUCCUCUGCGCGCGCAGGAGACUUGAGAAGGCCUGUCCCUAGUACGAGAGGACCGGGACGGACGAACCUCUGGUGUGCCAGUUGUCCCGCCCGGGGCACGGCUGGUUGGCUACGUUCGGGAAGGGUAACCGCUGAAAGCAUCUAAGCGGGAAACCAUCUUCAAGAUAAGGUCUCCACAAGAAGGACUUGUCCUUCUUGGUAGGCCCCCAGCAGACUACUGGGUUGAUAGGCCAGAAGUGGAAGACCGGCAACGGUUUUGAGCUGACUGGUACUAAUAGGCCAACACAAACAACA
RNAcentral lists this ribosomal RNA (2032 nucleotides) under human oral metagenome. Its description in RNAcentral is "bacterial LSU rRNA". It matches the Rfam family "Bacterial large subunit ribosomal RNA", at positions 1101 to 2925 of the family's 2925-position model. The record is from RNAcentral.